GAUGAACGCUGGCGGCGUGCUUAACACAUGCCAGUCGAACGGAAAGGCUCCUGCUUGCAGGGGUACUCGAGUGGCGAACGGGUGAGUAACACGUGGGUGAUCUGCCCUGCACUUCGGGAUAAGCCUGGGAAACUGGGUCUAAUACCGGAUAGGACGAUGGUUUGGAUGCCAUUGUGGAAAGUUUUUUCGGUGUGGGAUGAGCUCGCGGCCUAUCAGCUUGUUGGCGGGGUAAUGGCCUACCAAGGCGUCGACGGGUAGCCGGCCUGAGAGGGUGUACGGCCACAUUGGGACUGAGAUACGGCCCAGACUCCUACGGGAGGCAGCAGUGGGGAAUAUUGCACAAUGGGCGCAAGCCUGAUGCAGCGACGCCGCGUGGGGGAUGACGGCCUUCGGGUUGUAAACUCCUUUCGCUAGGGACGAAGCGCAAGUGACGGUACCUGGAGAAGAAGCACCGGCUAACUACGUG
This 466-nucleotide ribosomal RNA is filed under the name uncultured bacterium. RNAcentral's name for it is "partial 16S ribosomal RNA". It matches the Rfam family "Bacterial small subunit ribosomal RNA", at positions 28 to 507 of the family's 1533-position model. The record is from RNAcentral.